Molecule: ribosomal RNA, 253 nt
Filed under: uncultured bacterium
Lineage: Bacteria
Description: partial 16S ribosomal RNA
Rfam family: Bacterial small subunit ribosomal RNA
Source: RNAcentral
GACGAACCGUCCAAACGUUAUUCGGAAUUACUGGGCGUAAAGCGCGCGUAGGCGGACCUGCAAGUCGGGGGUGAAAGCCCGAGGCUCAACCUCGGAACUGCCUUCGAUACUGCGGGUCUCGAGUCCGGGAGAGGUGAGUGGAAUUCCUAGUGUAGAGGUGAAAUUCGUAGAUAUUAGGAAGAACACCAGUGGCGAAGGCGGCUCACUGGCCCGGUACUGACGCUGAGGCGCGAAAGCGUGGGGAGCAAACAGG